Molecule: ribosomal RNA, 254 nt
Filed under: uncultured bacterium
Lineage: Bacteria
Description: partial 16S ribosomal RNA
Rfam family: Bacterial small subunit ribosomal RNA
Source: RNAcentral
UACGUAGGUGGCAAGCGUUGUCCGGAUUUAUUGGGCGUAAAGCGAGCGCAGGCGGAAAGAUAAGUCUGAUGUGAAAGCCCCCGGCUUAACCGAGGAAUUGCAUCGGAAACUGUGUUUCUUGAGUGCAGAAGAGGAGAGUGGAACUCCAUGUGUAGCGGUGGAAUGCGUAGAUAUAUGGAAGAACACCAGUGGCGAAGGCGGCUCUCUGGUCUGUAACUGACGCUGAGGCUCGAAAGCGUGGGGAGCAAACAGGG